AAUAGAUACCCUGGUAGUCCAUGCCGUAAACGAUGAUUACUAAGUGUUGGAGGGUUUCCGCCCUUCAGUGCUGCAGCUAACGCAUUAAGUAAUCCGCCUGGGGAGUACGACCGCAAGGUUGAAACUCAAAAGAAUUGACGGGGGCCCGCACAAGCGGUGGAGCAUGUGGUUUAAUUCGAAGCUACGCGAAGAACCUUACCAGGUCUUGACAUCUUCUGCCAACCUAAGAGAUUAGGCGUUCCCUUCGGGGACAGAAUGACAGGUGGUGCAUGGUUGUCGUCAGCUCGUGUCGUGAGAUGUUGGGUUAAGUCCCGCAACGAGCGCAACCCUUAUUACUAGUUGCCAGCAUUCAGUUGGGCACUCUAGUGAGACUGCCGGUGACAAACCGGAGGAAGGUGGGGACGACGUCAAAUCAUCAUGCCCCUUAUGACCUGGGCUACACACGUGCUACAAUGGAUGGUACAACGAGUCGCGAAACCGCGAGGUUUAGCUAAGUCUCUUAAAACCAUUCUCAGUUCGGACUGUAGG
This 528-nucleotide ribosomal RNA is filed under the name uncultured bacterium. RNAcentral's name for it is "bacterial SSU rRNA". It matches the Rfam family "Bacterial small subunit ribosomal RNA", at positions 777 to 1304 of the family's 1533-position model. The record is from RNAcentral.